GGAUGAACGCUAGCGGCAGGCUUAACACAUGCAAGUCGAGGGGUAACAUUGUGCUUGCACAGAUGACGACCGGCGCACGGGUGCGUAACGCGUAUAGAACCUACCUUUUACUGGAGAAUAGCCUUUAGAAAUGAAGAUUAAUGCUCCAUGGUAUUGAGUUUUGGCAUCAAGACUUAAUUAAAGAUUUAUUGGUAAAAGAUGGCUAUGCGUCCUAUUAGUUAGAUGGUAAGGUAACGGCUUACCAUGACUUUGAUAGGUAGGGGUCCUGAGAGGGAGAUCCCCCACACUGGUACUGAGACACGGACCAGACUCCUACGGGAGGCAGCAGUGAGGAAUAUUGGGCAAUGGAGGCAACUCUGACCCAGCCAUGCCGCGUGAAGGAUGACUGCCCUAUGGGUUGUAAACUUCUUUUAUACAGGAAGAAACACUGGUAUGUAUACCAGCUUGACGGUACUGUAAGAAUAAGGACCGGCUAACUCCGUGCCAGCAGCCGCGGUAAUACGGAGGGUCCGAGCGUUAUCCGGAAUCAUUGGGUUUAAAGGGUCCGCAGGCGGUCGAUUAAGUCAGAGGUGAAAUCCCAUAGCUCAACUAUGGAACUGCCUUUGAUACUGGUUGACUUGAGUCAUAUGGAAGUAGAUAGAAUGUGUAGUGUAGCGGUGAAAUGCAUAGAUAUUACACAGAAUACCGAUUGCGAAGGCAGUCUACUACGUAUGUACUGACGCUGAGGGACGAAAGCGUGGGGAGCGAACAGGAUUAGAUACCCUGGUAGUCCACGCCGUAAACGAUGGAUACUAGUUGUUGGGCAUUAGCUCAGUGACUAAGCGAAAGUGAUA
This 833-nucleotide ribosomal RNA is filed under the name uncultured Polaribacter sp. RNAcentral describes it as "bacterial SSU rRNA". It matches the Rfam family "Bacterial small subunit ribosomal RNA", at positions 27 to 862 of the family's 1533-position model. The record is from RNAcentral. Lineage: Bacteria; Pseudomonadati; Bacteroidota; Flavobacteriia; Flavobacteriales; Flavobacteriaceae.